GAUUUUUUUCAUAGUCGCCCUCUAACAAUAAAUUAAAGUACCAUUAGAAUCGACGAGGUGGUGUAACCGUCCGGCAUUCACCCGGAUGACUCGGGUUCGAGGCUCCGUCUUACCCUCAUCACUUUAAUGGUAUCCCUAUCUGGGUCCUGAACUCAGAAUGUUUAGUAAGAGAAUAGUCUCUCUGAAAAGACAUGCCGUAGGAGUCCCCUGCGGUGGGCAUACGUAAUAGUAUGGUCUUCUCUCAAGGAGAGAAGAUUCGCUAAAAAUCGAACUUUUUUUGUCCAGUUUUCUAUUACAUUACAACUCUGGCCACUUUUUGUUAACUUAACCCUAACACCUACUGUAGUGGGAAAAAAGGAAACAAUAAAACAUGUGUUAAUGUCCGGUGACAAAAGGUUCAAUGUUUACAUAAUUUUUGAUAUUUUUUGUCUUUUUUGUAUUUUUUUACGUUUUUUUCUUGUGUUUUAUUGAAUUUCAAUGUUCAUAAUUUUUUUAUUGCUUGUUAAACUCUUCUAAAUCGUUAAUAUCAUCGAGAAAAUUCUAGUGCUCUAAUUAUUAUCAACCGUUUUCUGUUUCUAGGCUUUUGGCUUAUUCAUCGUUUGUUUCUUUGUGUGUUUCUUGGCUUGUUAUUUGACUUUUGAUUUAUUACUGGUUUUAUUUUACAAUCAACAGUGAUUUAUAAUUAAUAUCAACUUAUUUUGGUGUAAUAAUCAACCUAUCAAUAGAUUGAAUUAUCAACAGUUCAGUUAAUUGAUUGAAUCGACGGUUAGAGGUUUGUUUUUUCACUCUUGCUAAAAGGAUGAAUCGUUUGGCAUUUCAUGUUAUGAUUGACUUUUUUGACGAGUGAUUAAAUUUACCUUUAAUUCUGUUAACAUUACCUUUUAAUUAGCCUCUCCUGGGUAUUCAAUGAAUACAGUGUUUCAAUCAGUGGUCAAAAUGAAAUGGAUACCUUUUCCCCUGACUGUUAUCAUUCAAUCUUUUCAGUCAAUUAAAAUCUAAAUCAACCUUUCUGGACCGUGUAAACUGCAAACUGUGUCUUCACAGGUUUAUAAAUCAACAUUCUGGUUAACAAGGUUUCACCUUUGUUGGCUUGGAUAAAAACAAUAUUCAAUCAAUAUUACACCUUAUUAUUUAAUUAUUGAUGGUUAUUAUUUUGAAUGGAUAGAUGAAUUUAAUUCAAUUACGAGGUGUAAGCAGGAACAUCUAUUCAAUGGAUGGAAAGGACAAGGGAAAGUGAUACACAUUGGAAUAAAAUAUAAUGGUUAAAAUAAAUCAUUUAAUCAAUUGUUUAUUUUUUCGCUUUAUAUUACCCCAUUCCGGCUAAUAAUAAAUCAAACUAAUUGGGAAAAAAGCAAAUAAAGCUUUUAUUGAAUUGAA
This is a non-coding RNA of Tetranychus urticae (two-spotted spider mite), 1377 nucleotides long. The record is from RefSeq and is a predicted model, not a curated record. NCBI's taxonomy places the organism in Eukaryota, Metazoa, Arthropoda, Arachnida, Trombidiformes, Tetranychidae.